Molecule: long non-coding RNA, 481 nt
Organism: Thunnus maccoyii (southern bluefin tuna)
Lineage: Eukaryota; Metazoa; Chordata; Actinopteri; Scombriformes; Scombridae
Exons: 3
Source: RefSeq, a predicted model, not a curated record
GGUGACUCUGACUCAUUCUGACAGAGUUGCACCUGUGUCGAGAUCUAUUUGGGUUUGAGUUGGCACAACACGAGGAAGACGCCAAAGGCAAGACAUUCUGGAGACAAAAAACAGAGUUUGUCUCACACACCACCACAAACUGUAAACACCUUUUAAACUGAACGUCCACAUUGAACAGUGGGCUGGCUGACAAGACCGACGCAAGAGCUCCUGAGACAUGUCCAAACAAUUCGCCUGGUCUGAGUGAGCUGGUUGUGGGAAGCAGAAACGGUGGCCUGACCUUCAAUAUUUGGAAGACGUCGCUCUUGGAAAUUAGAUAUGUUCAGAUAUGUUGUGGGUCUGAAUCUAAGGACCAGAACUCCCAGAACCGUCCCUGAACAAACACCAGCGACACAAACUUCCACUGAUGGAAGAUCACAACGAAAAGAGGAAGUAAAGUUCAUAGAAGUGCAUUAUGUAAAUAAACAAUCACUAUACAAUA